GGUGAAGAUCCCGUCCGCUGGAUGACCAAGGGUUCCAGGGCCACGUUCAUCGUCCCUGGGUGAGUCGGGUCCUAAGGCGAGGCCGACAGGCGUAGUCGAAUGGAUGAACGGGUGGAUAUUCCCGUACCGACCAUGGACCGGCAAAACCGAGACGGUGAGUACUAACCUCCGCCUCGUGGUGGUUCCUUCCUUCGGGUUGGUUCCGCCGCGUGGUGUUGGGAGCGUAGCCGCAGUAGGUCAGCGCAGGGGUGACACGGAAUGGGAGCCGGCCGCGGAGGUGGUUUUCCGUGGUCAAGCACGCAGCCAGUCAUGUAGGCAAAUCCGCAUGGCGCGCAUGGCGAGGUGUGAUGAUGGGAGCCGUUAUGGUUCGAUAUCCGGUUGUCCAGGCCGUCGAGAAAAGCCUCGGCGUGAGGGCCAUGGCCGCCCGUACCCCAAACCGACACUGGUGGUCAGGUAGAGAAUACCAAGGCGAUCGAGCGAAUCCUGGUCAAGGAACUCGGCAAAUCACUCCCGUUCCUUCGGUUUAAGGGAGACCCCCGAUGGUGAACACACUUGCUGUGGGAGCUUUUGGGGGUGGCACAGACCAGGGGGUAGCGACUGUUUACCAAAAACACAGGUGCAUGCGAAGGCGAAAGCCGCUGUAUAUGCACUGACGCCUGCCCGGUGCCGGAAGGUUAAGAGGAUCCGUCAGUCCUUCGGGAUGAAGCGGUGAAUUCAAGCCCCGGUAAACGGCGGUGGUAACUAUAACCAUCCUAAGGUAGCGAAAUUCCUUGUCGGGUAAGUUCCGACCUGCACGAAUGGCGUAACGACUUCCCCACUGUCUCGACCAGGAGCUCGGCGAAAUUGCAGUACGAGUAAAGAUGCUCGUUAAGCGCAGAAGGACGAAAAGACCCCGGGACCUUUACUAUACCUUGGUAUUGGCGUUAGGCGCGGAUUGUGUAGCAUAGGCGGGAGGCUUCGAAGCGUGGGCGCCAGCUCAUGUGGAGCCGCAAGGUGAAAUACCGCUCUGUUCUCGUUUGACGUCUAACCUCGACAAGUCAUCCUUGUCAGGGACAGUGCCUGGCGGGUAGUUCAACUGGGGCGGUUGCCUCCCAAAGAGUAACGGAGGCGCUCAAAGGUCCGCUCAGCCCGGUUGGCAAUCGGGUGUCGAGUGUAAUCGCACAAGCGGGCUUGACUGCGAGGACGACGGUCCGAGCAGGGACGAAAGUCGGAGAUAGUGAUCCGGUGCCGGCGCACGGGCGCGGCAUCGCUCAACGGAUAAAAGGUACCCCGGGGAUAACAGGCUGAUCAUUCCCAAGAGUCCAUAUCGACGGGAUGGUUUGGCACCUCGAUGUCGGCUC
This 1340-nucleotide ribosomal RNA is filed under the name human gut metagenome. Its description in RNAcentral is "bacterial LSU rRNA". It matches the Rfam family "Bacterial large subunit ribosomal RNA", at positions 1320 to 2538 of the family's 2925-position model. The record is from RNAcentral.